This 357-nucleotide long non-coding RNA is filed under the name Phoenix dactylifera (date palm). RNAcentral's name for it is "long non-coding RNA (PDAC_LNC011478)". Lineage: Eukaryota; Viridiplantae; Streptophyta; Magnoliopsida; Arecales; Arecaceae. The record is from RNAcentral.
GAUAGUGAACUCCAAAUCAUCCUCGAACUUGGAGUUCUUGCCUUUGAGAGAUUCAAUGCGAUUUUUUAUUUCCUCAAUCUUUCAAUCAAGAACGGCCUCCUCUUGGAAACCCACUUUAGUCGGCGAGGGAAUGAAUGGCCUGAUAUAGAAUCUACCUUGGGAUGAGAACUUGAAGGACUACAUCUCUAGUUUCGUCUAGGAUUCUAAGGAUGAGAAUGAUGGCUAUGCUGCAUUGGACCUCCAUGGUGGCUCAGCUCAUUUGCGUACUAUAGAUUGGUAGUCUACUAGUGUAGGUUUUGAAUAGUUGCUGUGAGAGCCUGGACCUAGUGGACGAGCAGAUUAAACUGCUCAGCAUUA